RNAcentral lists this ribosomal RNA (253 nucleotides) under uncultured bacterium. Its description in RNAcentral is "partial 16S ribosomal RNA". It matches the Rfam family "Bacterial small subunit ribosomal RNA", at positions 524 to 776 of the family's 1533-position model. The record is from RNAcentral.
UACGUAGGGGGCUAGCGUUGUCCGGAAUCAUUGGGCGUAAAGAGCGUGUAGGCGGUCCGGUAAGUCCGCUGUGAAAGUCGGGGGCUCAACCCUCGAAUGCCGGUGGAUACUGUCGUGCUAGAGUGCGGAAGGGGCUACUGGAAUUCUCGGUGUAGCGGUGAAAUGCGUAGAUAUCGAGAGGAACACCUGCGGCGAAGGCGGGUAGCUGGGCCGACACUGACGCUGAGGCGCGAAAGCCAGGGGAGCGAACGGG